Molecule: ribosomal RNA, 253 nt
Filed under: uncultured bacterium
Lineage: Bacteria
Description: partial 16S ribosomal RNA
Rfam family: Bacterial small subunit ribosomal RNA
Source: RNAcentral
UACGGGGGGGGCAAGCGUUGUUCGGAAUUACUGGGCGUAAAGGGCGCGUAGGCGGUUGGAUAAGUCAGCUGUGAAAACCACGGGCUUAACUCGUGGCCUGCAGUUGAGACUGUCUGGCUUGAGUGUGGGAGAGGAGAGUGGAAUUCCUGGUGUAGCGGUGAAAUGCGUAGAUAUCAGGAGGAACACCAGUGGCGAAGGCGACUACCUGGCCUGUUCUUGACGCUGAGGCGCGAAAGCUAGGGGAGCAAACGGG